UUUAUCAAAUCUUACUGAAUCAGUUCAAGUGUCUUCUCUCCCCACUCCCCCUCCAUCCCCAAAUACACAAAUAUCAGGGGUGUCUGUUACUGAAGUGGAAGGAAAGCGAAAGGAAGCCCUACCGCUUCAUGGACUCCAUACUCACAGUGUCCUGAAUCACUUCGCUUUUCUCUGGGUUUUCCUCUAGAUAAAUCCUCUCUUUCAGGGCACUCUUGGGACUCUAAAAAAAGACAUUCAGUUCAUUUCAACAGGCUCCCCAAAAAGGGACAAGGAAAAAUAGGGUGGAAAACAAGGUUCCGGAUUUCACAUUUGUAUUUGAAACCACAAAGGAUCUUGCAUCAUACCUCACUCUACUAUUUUUUUCCCCGACUUUGGCAAGGCACUUAUUCUCUUGGCCUUUUGAGUUUUAUGCUGAUGAACAAUAUCACACUAACAGAAUAGUUGUACCUCAUCUCCAGGACUGAGGGCUAAUUUCUACCAAAUAAACCUAACUGGAUGCAUUAUGUAUCUCUCAAACUAGUUAUGUCAAAGUCAAACUCUGUCUUUAUCCACCACUUCUAACCCCCUCUGCCCCCAACUGUUUCUUUCUAUGCAAGUUAAAAGCAUUUUGGCCUAUUUAUAGGAGAGAGAUUAAGUUUCUAUUUUUCUGUGAGUAUCGUGUAGAAGUGAUGUGUGGAUUCUUCUAAAAUUUACAGAGUAUGUAUGUUUGGGAUGACCGAAUACAAAACACAAAGAAUAUGAUGUGUGGAACUUCGAUUCUGGAGGAUGAGGAACACUCCACAGCAACGGAGCCAUUCGUCAGAGCAGCUGAAAAUGAGACACAUAUUGAUGAAAUAAUGUCAUGGAUUUACUUGAAAAGAAUCCUGUAUUUGAAGGGUGUGAAGAAUGAGGGAUACAGACAGAACAAGUUUGAGCACUCUUGAUGACUUCUGAGGCUGGGUGAUCAAGAUCUGCCAGACUUUGGAGACAUGGAGUCAAAUAAGACUGUCCCUGUCCUCUCAAGAAACUAUCAAAUGGUAAAGACGAGCCAUGAAAACAGGAGAAGCAGCAGUGAAUCUAAAAGGAGAAUGUGAGAAGGACCUCCCAAAAACAGUACUUCUAGAACAACUUGAAGGCCUCUAAAACCUGAACUCAAGCCUCUGUUUCUAAGAUAAACUCUAGUCAUUCCAUUCAUCAUCCCAAAUACCAGUAAAAUUUUCACUGC
This is a long non-coding RNA of Acinonyx jubatus (cheetah), 1204 nucleotides long. RefSeq lists it as uncharacterized. The transcript has 3 exons. The record is from RefSeq and is a predicted model, not a curated record. NCBI's taxonomy places the organism in Eukaryota, Metazoa, Chordata, Mammalia, Carnivora, Felidae.